Molecule: non-coding RNA, 29 nt
Filed under: Homo sapiens (human)
Lineage: Eukaryota; Metazoa; Chordata; Mammalia; Primates; Hominidae
Source: RNAcentral
UCACUUUGAGGGUGACAUUUGCAAAGAAA